AAAUUUAAUCCAGUUUAGAGUCUUUCUACUUAAACUCAUUCAGUAUCUGACUAAUUAAAAUGUAGUUUAUAUGGGCUUAUUACUAUUAUAUUAAAAUGUUCCUAAUACUAUAACGCAAAUGCAAUUUAUUUUUGUUUAGGGAUCAAGGUCGACUCUCAAUUUCUUAAGCAAAUGACUAAAUGGAGUCAUGAAAAUUCAGAUGUCAACACCCAUCCACCAAUUAUAGGGCCAUACACGCCUAAUUCAAAUCUUACGAACCUUAGUACACAAACAUCAUUUUUCUCUCCUCUUAUACCCUUAGUUGCCUCAUGCCUGACAGCCGCCCCUCCCGCAUCGGUCCCCCGCCCCACUCGAAAUCACCUCCGUUACACUCGAGCUCGGCCCCCUGCCAGGCCACACUGAAGUUCGCUGCUUUUGCCACCAUCAUUUCCCCGUCUUUUAGCGCCUCCGUGGUAGUUGAGAUUUUGACGUCACCGUUGAUUCUUAUAGUCAUGGAGCCCUCGGCACCUCCAUGGAGGUCGACCCUCUAUGUAUGAAUUCAUUGGCCCCUUGCCGGCCUCAGGAAGCUUGACAUGGCUUCGAGCCCCGCCAUCAAUAAAGAGCUGGAUGCCAUCAUUGAGGACGGGUGGGGGGUGGUGUGGCGGGUGUGCUUGCUAGGGAUGAAGCCGAGAAGUGGAUCGACGGUGGAGUGGCAACAAGGGCACCUGUGGAGGUGGACGAUGGCAAGGGCGGCCCAGCCUGCGGCAGCUAACAUGGCGAGCAUAGGUUGAGUAACAAAUGUACUAUCGUAGUAAAAGCGGACCUACGUCCCUCUCAUGCAUGCUGCUCCCCAUGUGGAUUCAACAACCAAUGCCAUCCGGCCCACAAGGCAGAUCAUUGCUAUAACACAUCAUGUGAUACCGUUUGACUAUCCUUACUUCAAAUAAAGUCUCAAUUUAGAAAAUAAUGCAGGUCCCUUGAUUUAGUACAUACACUACUCAUUGUUGGGGACCGUUUCACUAAGAUUUUCUUCAUGCGAAGGGCCAUCCGAGAGACAUUUUCAUACCAUCUAAAAUGACAUCGUUGAAAUCGGCCAACACGAGAGACUGGAACAAC
This 1095-nucleotide long non-coding RNA is filed under the name Eucalyptus grandis. Its description in RNAcentral is "long non-coding RNA (EGRA_LNC006250)". The record is from RNAcentral. Lineage: Eukaryota; Viridiplantae; Streptophyta; Magnoliopsida; Myrtales; Myrtaceae.